This 620-nucleotide ribosomal RNA is filed under the name Rotylenchulus reniformis. RNAcentral describes it as "SSU rRNA". It matches the Rfam family "Eukaryotic small subunit ribosomal RNA", at positions 1009 to 1655 of the family's 1831-position model. Lineage: Eukaryota; Metazoa; Nematoda; Chromadorea; Rhabditida; Hoplolaimidae. The record is from RNAcentral.
CAGAUACCGCCCUAGUUCUGACCGUAAACGAUGCCAACUAGCGAUCCGCCGGCGGAUUCAUUCGCCCUGGUGGGGAGCUUCCCGGAAACGAAAGUCUUCCGGUUCCGGGGGAAGUAUGGUUGCAAAGCUGAAACUUAAAGGAAUUGACGGAAGGGCACCACCAGGAGUGGAGCCUGCGGCUUAAUUUGACUCAACACGGGGAAACUCACCCGGCCCGGACACCGUAAGGAUUGACAGAUUGAUAGCUUUUUCAUGAUUCGGUGGAUGGUGGUGCAUGGCCGUUCUUAGUUCGUGGAGCGAUUUGUCUGGUUUAUUCCGAUAACGAGCGAGACUCUGGCCUACUAAAUAGUUGGCACAUUGCCACUGUGUGCACAACUUCUUAGAGGGAUUUUCGGUGUUCAGCCGCACGGAAUUGAGCAAUAACAGGUCUGUGAUGCCCUUAGAUGUCCGGGGCUGCACGCGCGCUACACUGGCAAAAUCAGCGUGCUUGUCCUCCCCCGAAAGGGGUUGGUAAACCGAUGAAAAUUUGCCGUGAUUGGGAUCGGACAUUGCAAUUAUUGUCCGUGAACGAGGAAUCCCUUGUAAGGGCGAGUCAUCAACUCGUCCUGAAUACGUCCCUG